RNAcentral lists this ribosomal RNA (153 nucleotides) under Juglanconis oblonga. RNAcentral's name for it is "5.8S ribosomal RNA". It matches the Rfam family "5.8S ribosomal RNA". From Rfam's summary of the family: 5.8S ribosomal RNA (5.8S rRNA) is a component of the large subunit of the eukaryotic ribosome. It is transcribed by RNA polymerase I as part of the 45S precursor that also contains 18S and 28S rRNA. Lineage: Eukaryota; Fungi; Ascomycota; Sordariomycetes; Diaporthales; Juglanconidaceae. The record is from RNAcentral.
AACUUUCAACAACGGAUCUCUUGGUUCUGGCAUCGAUGAAGAACGCAGCGAAAUGCGAUAAGUAAUGUGAAUUGCAGAAUUCAGUGAAUCAUCGAAUCUUUGAACGCACAUUGCGCCCGCUGGUAUUCCAGCGGGCAUGCCUGUUCGAGCGUC